AACGAACGCUGGCGGCAUGCCUAACACAUGCAAGUCGAACGAGACCUUCGGGUCUAGUGGCGCACGGGUUCGUAACGCGUGGGAACCUGCCCUUGGGUUUGGCAUAACUCUCCGAAAGGGGUGCUAAUACCGGAUCAUGUCUUCGGACCAAAGAUUUAUCGCCGUUGGAUGGGCCCGCGUUGGAUUAGCUAGUUGGUAGGGUAAAAGCCUAACAAGGCGACGAUCCAUAGCUGGUUUGAGAGGAUGGUCAGCCACACUGGGACUGAGACACGGCCCAGACUCCUACGGGAGGGAGCAGUGGCGAAUAUUGGAAAAUGGGCGAAAGCCUGAUCCAGCAAUGCCGCGUGAGUGAUGAAGGCCUUAGGGUUGUAAAGCUCUUUUAACCGGGAUGAUAAUGACAGUACCGAGAGAAUAAGCUCCGGCUAACUCCGUG
RNAcentral lists this ribosomal RNA (433 nucleotides) under uncultured bacterium. RNAcentral's name for it is "partial 16S ribosomal RNA". It matches the Rfam family "Bacterial small subunit ribosomal RNA", at positions 29 to 507 of the family's 1533-position model. The record is from RNAcentral.